This is a small nuclear RNA of Ochotona princeps (American pika), 110 nucleotides long. The record is from Ensembl. NCBI's taxonomy places the organism in Eukaryota, Metazoa, Chordata, Mammalia, Lagomorpha, Ochotonidae.
GUGUUCGCUUCGGCAACACAUAUACUAAAAUUGGAAUGAUACAGAGAAGAUUAGCGUGGCCCGUGUGCAAGGAUGACAUGCAAAUUUGUAAAGUGGAACAGCCAGUAUUU